Molecule: ribosomal RNA, 273 nt
Filed under: uncultured bacterium
Lineage: Bacteria
Description: partial 16S ribosomal RNA
Rfam family: Bacterial small subunit ribosomal RNA
Source: RNAcentral
UACGUAGGGCGCAAGCGUUAUCCGGAAUUAUUGGGCGUAAAGAGCUCGUAGGCGGUUUGUCGCGUCUGCCGUGAAAGUCCGGGGCUCAACUCCGGAUCUGCGGUGGGUACGGGCAGACUAGAGUGCAGUAGGGGAGACUGGAAUUCCUGGUGUAGCGGUGAAAUGCGCAGAUAUCAGGAGGAACACCAAGUGGCGAAGGCAUGCUCCGCUGGGACGGUACUGAGGCCUGGAAGGCGCGGGAAAAGCCAGUGGGGGAGCAAACAAGGAUUGAUG